UUUGAAAGUUAACUACCCUGAACAAGCUCAAUCCCAUCUGAUCUUGGAAGCUAAGCAGGGUCGGGCCUGGUUAGUACUUGGAUGGGAGACCACCUAGAAGACCAGGUGCUGUAGACG
RNAcentral lists this ribosomal RNA (117 nucleotides) under Pteropus alecto (black flying fox). Lineage: Eukaryota; Metazoa; Chordata; Mammalia; Chiroptera; Pteropodidae. The record is from RNAcentral.